This 529-nucleotide ribosomal RNA is filed under the name uncultured bacterium. RNAcentral describes it as "bacterial SSU rRNA". It matches the Rfam family "Bacterial small subunit ribosomal RNA", at positions 777 to 1304 of the family's 1533-position model. The record is from RNAcentral.
AAUAGAUACCCGGGUAGUCCACGCCGUAAACUAUGAGAGCUAGCCGUCGGCAAGUUUACUUGUCGGUGGCGCAGCUAACGCAUUAAGCUCUCCGCCUGGGGAGUACGGUCGCAAGAUUAAAACUCAAAGGAGUUGACGGGGGCCCGCACAAGCGGUGGGGCAUGUGGUUUAAUUCGAAGCAACGCGCAGAACCUUACCAGCCCUUGACAUCCCGGUCGCGGUUACCAGAGAUGGUUUCCUUCAGUUCGGCUGGACCGGUGACAGGUGCUGCAUGGCUGUCGUCAGCUCGUGUCGUGAGAUGUUGGGUUAAGUCCCGCAACGAGCGCAACCCUCGCCCUUAGUUGCCAUCAUUCAGUUGGGCACUCUAAGGGGACUGCCGGUGAUAAGCCGAGAGGAAGGUGGGGAUGACGUCAAGUCCUCAUGGCCCUUACGGGCUGGGCUACACACGUGCUACAAUGGUGGUGACAGUGGGCAGCGAGACCGCGAGGUCGAGCUAAUCUCCAAAAGCCAUCUCAGUUCGGAUUGCACU